This 225-nucleotide non-coding RNA is filed under the name Citrobacter freundii. Lineage: Bacteria; Pseudomonadati; Pseudomonadota; Gammaproteobacteria; Enterobacterales; Enterobacteriaceae. The record is from RNAcentral.
GUUAGAGUCGCUUUUGACAGCAUUUCAUUACAUUUUUGUAUAUGAAUAGGAAUAUGGUGAGAAUUAUUCAAUUCAAUUCCAUAACUGCCCCCGCAACUGUAGGCGGAUGCAGAAUAUCCUUGUGUGGUUAAUAAGCCACAGGUCACUGUAAAGCUCGUCUUUAUGGGAAGGCCGAUAUUCUGAUUACCGUGAGUCAGGAGACCUGCUGUCAACGAUGUAUACCAU